This 377-nucleotide ribosomal RNA is filed under the name uncultured bacterium. RNAcentral's name for it is "bacterial SSU rRNA". It matches the Rfam family "Bacterial small subunit ribosomal RNA", at positions 521 to 896 of the family's 1533-position model. The record is from RNAcentral.
UAAUACGUAGGGCGCAAGCGUUGUCCGGAAUUAUUGGGCGUAAAGAGCUCGUAGGUGGCUUGUCGCGUCUGCCGUGAAAGCCCAUGGCUUAACUGUGGGUCUGCGGUGGAUACGGGCUGGCUAGAGGUAGGUAGGGGCAAGCGGAAUUCCUGGUGUAGCGGUGAAAUGCGCAGAUAUCAGGAGGAACACCGGUGGCGAAGGCGGCUUGCUGGGCCUUACCUGACGCUGAGGAGCGAAAGCGUGGGGAGCGAACAGGAUUAGAUACCCUGGUAGUCCACGCUGUAAACGUUGGGCGCUAGGUGUGGGGUCCUUCCACGGAUUCCGUGCCGUAGCUAACGCAUUAAGCGCCCCGCCUGGGGAGUACGGCCGCAAGGCUA